GAACGGUAACAGGUCUUCGGAUGCUGACGAGUGGCGGACGGGUGAGUAAUGCGUAGGAAUCUGUCUUUUAGUGGGGGACAACCCAGGGAAACUUGGGCUAAUACCGCAUGAGCCCUGAGGGGGGAAAGCGGGGGAUCUUCGGACCUCGCGCUAAGAGAGGAGCCUGCGUCCGAUUAGCUAGUUGGCGGGGUAAAGGCCCACCAAGGCGACGAUCGGUAGCUGGUCUGAGAGGACAACCAGCCACACUGGGUCUGAGACACGGCCCAGACUCCUACGGGAGGCAGCAGUGGGGAAUUUUUCGCAAUGGGGGCAACCCUGACGAAGCAAUGCCGCGUGGAUGAAGAAGGCCUUCGGGUUGUAAAGUCCUUUCGUGGAGGACGAAAAGGUGGGUUCUAAUACAAUCUGCUAUUGACGUGAAUCCAAGAAGAAGCACCGGCUAACUCCGU
RNAcentral lists this ribosomal RNA (446 nucleotides) under uncultured Acidithiobacillus sp. RNAcentral describes it as "bacterial SSU rRNA". It matches the Rfam family "Bacterial small subunit ribosomal RNA", at positions 64 to 506 of the family's 1533-position model. The record is from RNAcentral. Lineage: Bacteria; Pseudomonadati; Pseudomonadota; Acidithiobacillia; Acidithiobacillales; Acidithiobacillaceae.